AAGUCCCCUUCGGGGGACAAGUAGAGUGGCGCACGGGUGAGUAACACGUAGGUAAUCUACCUUUGGAUGGGGAAUAACAACCGGAAACGGUUGCUAAUACCGCAUAAUGCAGCGGCACCUAAUGGUGACAGUUGUUAAAGCGGGGGAUCGAAAGACCUCGCGUCUAAAGAGGAGCCUGCGGCGGAUUAGCUAGUUGGUAAGGUAAUGGCUUACCAAGGCGACGAUCCGUAACCGGCCUGAGAGGGCGGUCGGUCACACUGACACUGACAUACGGGUCAGACUCCUACGGGAGGCAGCAGUCGGGAAUUUUGGGCAAUGGGCGAAAGCCUGACCCAGCAACGCCGCGUGAAGGAUGAAAUCCCUCGGGAUGUAAACUUCGCAAGAACGGGAAGAAUAAGCGAUAGUUAAUAUCUGUCGUGAUGACGGUACCGUUUGUAAGCUCCGGCUAACUCCGUGCCAGCAGCCGCGGUAAUACGGGGGGAGCAAGCGUUGUUCGGAUUUACUGGGCGUAAAGGGCGCGUAGGCGGUCAGCACAAGUCAGUUGUGAAAUCUCCGAGCUUAACUCGGAAAGGUCAACUGAUACUGUGCGACUAGAGUGCAGAAGGGGCAACUGGAAUUCUCGGUGUAGCGGUGAAAUGCGUAGAUAUCGAGAGGAACACCUGCGGCGAAGGCGGGUUGCUGGGCUGACACUGACGCUGAGGCGCGAAAGCUAGGGGAGCGAA
RNAcentral lists this ribosomal RNA (722 nucleotides) under uncultured Acidobacteriota bacterium. RNAcentral describes it as "bacterial SSU rRNA". It matches the Rfam family "Bacterial small subunit ribosomal RNA", at positions 71 to 772 of the family's 1533-position model. Lineage: Bacteria; Pseudomonadati; Acidobacteriota. The record is from RNAcentral.